CCUACGGGAGGCAGCAGUGAGGAAUAUUGGUCAAUGGACGAGAGUCUGAACCAGCCAAGUAGCGUGAAGGAUGACUGCCCUAUGGGUUGUAAACUUCUUUUAUAACGGACUAAAACGAGGCAAGUGUGCAUUUUUGCAUGUACUUUAUGAAUAAGGAUCGGCUAACUCCGUGCCAGCAGCCGCGGUAAUACGGAGGAUCCGAGCGUUAUCCGGAUUUAUUGGGUUUAAAGUGAGCGUAGAUGGGUUGUUAAGUCAGUUGUGAAAGUUUGCGGCUCAACCGUAAAAUUGCAAUUGAUACUGGCAGUCUUGAGUACAGUUGAGGUAGGCGGAAUUCGUGGUGUAGCGGUGAAAUGCUUAGAUAUCACGAAGAACCCCGAUUGCGAAGGCAGCUUACUAAACUGUGACUGACAUUGAUGCUCGAAAGUGUGGGUAUCAAACAGGAUUAGAUACCCCAGUAGUC
This 460-nucleotide ribosomal RNA is filed under the name uncultured bacterium. Its description in RNAcentral is "partial 16S ribosomal RNA". It matches the Rfam family "Bacterial small subunit ribosomal RNA", at positions 338 to 795 of the family's 1533-position model. The record is from RNAcentral.